AUUGAACGCUGGCGGCAGGCCUAACACAUGCAAGUCGAACGAGUGGCGGACGGGUGAGUAAUGUCUGGGAAACUGCCCGAUGGAGGGGGAUAACUACUGGAAACGGUAGCUAAUACCGCAUACCAUCCGAUUUGCCCAGAUGGGAUGAGCUUGUUGGUGGGGUAACGGCGCACCAAGGCGACGAUCCCUAGCUGGUCUGAAAGGAUACCGAGCCACACUGGAACUGAGCCACGGUCCCGCCCCCGACGGGAGGCAGCAGUGGGGAAUAUUGCACAAUGGGCGCAAGCCUGAUGCAGCCAUGCCGCGUGUAUGAAGAAGGCCUUCGGGUUUUAAAGUACUUUCAGCGGGGAGGCGUUACCCGCAGAAGAAGCACCGGCUAACUCCGUGCCAGCAGCCGCGGUAAUAC
Molecule: ribosomal RNA, 406 nt
Filed under: uncultured bacterium
Lineage: Bacteria
Description: partial 16S ribosomal RNA
Rfam family: Bacterial small subunit ribosomal RNA
Source: RNAcentral